RNAcentral lists this ribosomal RNA (472 nucleotides) under uncultured bacterium. Its description in RNAcentral is "bacterial SSU rRNA". It matches the Rfam family "Bacterial small subunit ribosomal RNA", at positions 355 to 825 of the family's 1533-position model. The record is from RNAcentral.
UGGGGAAUUUUGGACAAUGGGGGCAACCCUGAUCCAGCCAUGCCGCGUGAGUGAAGAAGGCCUUCGGGUUGUAAAGCUCUUUCGGACGGGACGAAAUGGUUAGCGUGAAUAACGCUGACUAAUGACGGUACCUGAAGAAUAAGCACCGGCUAACUACGUGCCAGCAGCCGCGGUAAUACGUAGGGUGCAAGCGUUAAUCGGAAUUACUGGGCGUAAAGCGUGCGCAGGCGGUUGUGUAAGUCAGAUGUGAAAUCCCCGGGCUCAACCUGGGAAUUGCAUUUGAGACUGCACGGCUAGAGUGUGUCAGAGGGGGGUAGAAUUCCACGUGUAGCAGUGAAAUGCGUAGAUAUGUGGAGGAAUACCGAUGGCGAAGGCAGCCCCCUGGGAUAACACUGACGCUCAUGCACGAAAGCGUGGGGAGCAAACAGGAUUAGAUACCCUGGUAGUCCCUGAGCGGGCUGGCAAGGCGCAU